UAGUUGGAUUUCUGUGGGGGCGGAGCGGCCGGCCGCAACUUGCGGUUCGAGCUAGCGCUUCCCCUACAUCCUGCCGCGAACCGUGCUACCAUUAAUUUGGUGGCGCCGGGGAUCGGCUCGUUUACUUUGAGAAAAAUAGAGUGUUCAAAGCAGGCCACACGCCUUGAAUAAGUUAGCAUGGAAUAAUAAUAAAGGACUUCGGUUCUAUUUUGUUGGUGUUCGGGACUGAAGUAAUGAUUGACAGGGACAGUUGGGGCAAUCAGUAUUCCAAAGCGAGAGGUGAAAUUCUUAGACCUUCGGAAGACUAACAGCUGCGAAAGCGUUUUGCAAGGAUGUUCCCUUUGAUCAAGAACGAAAGUUGGGGGAUCGAAGACGAUCAGAUACCGUCGUAGUCUCAACUAUAAACUAUACCAGCUAGGGAUCGGUCAACGUUAAAUUAUCCGACUUGAUCGGCACCUUAUGAGAAAUCAAAGCAUCUGGGUUCCGGGGGGAGUAUGGUCGCAAGGCUGAAACUUAAAGGAAUUGACGGAAGGGCACCACCAGCCGUGGAGCCUGUGGCUUAAUUUGACUCAACACGGGAAAACUUACCAGGUCCAGACAUAGUAAGGAUUGACAGAUUGAUAGCUCUUUCUUGAUUCUGUGGGUGGUGGUGCAUGGCCGUUCUUAGUUGGUGGAGUGAUUUGUCUGGUUAAUUCCGUUAACGAACGAGACCCCAGCCUGCUAAAUAGCGCGGCUGAGCUUUGCUCGGUGCGAGCUUCUUAGAGGGACUAUGAUGCGCGAUAGCACAUGGAAGUUUGGGGGCAAUAACAGGUCUGUGAUGCCCUUAGAUGUUCUGGGCCGCACACGGGCUACACUGGCGCCUGCAACGAGCAUAUCAGCUGGCCCGAGAGGGUCUUGGCUAAUCUUUUGAACC
This 913-nucleotide ribosomal RNA is filed under the name uncultured Polycystinea. RNAcentral's name for it is "bacterial SSU rRNA". It matches the Rfam family "Eukaryotic small subunit ribosomal RNA", at positions 631 to 1560 of the family's 1831-position model. The record is from RNAcentral. Lineage: Eukaryota; Polycystinea.